This 1396-nucleotide long non-coding RNA is filed under the name Mastacembelus armatus (zig-zag eel). Its description in RNAcentral is "lncRNA (ENSMAMG00000026218.1)". Lineage: Eukaryota; Metazoa; Chordata; Actinopteri; Synbranchiformes; Mastacembelidae. The record is from RNAcentral.
ACAAGAAGAAUUUCUGGACAGUGAAGAAGUUUUCAGAAGAAACGCUUGUACAAUCAUUGAGGAAAUGCUGGAACUGAAUAAUGACCCUACAGAACAUACUACAUUUUUAGUUGAUGAGGUUCUUCACUGCAUCUUUUUUUUGGGAAACAUCAACAAGCCAAUUAUUACCCCCGAAGAAAUUGUUAAUGAUGAAGAGAUGUUAAAUUGCUUGAAACGGAUUUUCCCUCGAGCUUUUCGACUCUUUUCCUCUCAACUACCCAAGCGGGAUCCAUUUUCAUGUGUGCUUGACAUGAUCGUCCACCUGACUGGCGAAAGUAAUGAAGACCAAAUAAUUGAACAGCUGCGAAACCUAAACACUCAGCUGGCCCGGGGUGAAGAAAAUCAUCUGGUCCCCUCAGUGAUCUGUGUCUCUCAGAAUACUCAGAGGAGAGGUUCAGCCAGACACUAUGGUCUCUCCAUGUCCACUUCUGGGAAGACUCCUGGGCAGAUCAUGGUCGCUGCCUCCUGUUUUAGUGCCUGGGACAGUGAUGUUGCUGAUGCAGUGAUGACAUACUAUCCAAAUAAGCAGAAGAAACCAUACUUUGAUGGAAGAAUCAAUCUGCCAAAGUAUGUCAGGUGCGAGGCGUUUAACCUGUAUGAUCGAAGCCCAAAGGCUCCUUGCAAAUCAUGUGGGGAUUUGUUUGGUUUGGCAACAACUGAAACAAAGGGCUGGGCCCAUGGCAACUGUGCUGAAGUUGGGAGUGUGAGCAACUUGUUUAAAAAUGAGGAAGAAGUUCAAGUUCAAGCACAAUCCCAAUCUGACACGGUAACCAAACCUGAGAACAGGAAGAGGGUGAGAGAACGUGUGAGGAAUCACCUUAAAAUGUUGCUGAAAGAGAAGAACUUUUCAUGGGACAAUAAAUUCUACCCUGACAUAGUUUUUAAUCUUUAAACAGAAACAUUAUUGAAUGUUACAGAUUGAUGACUAAGAUGAUCUGUUAUUACAAAUUGACCAGAUAGUAGAGGCCUUUAAAUAUCAGAUUAUCCAUCUACAACAUACAAAAAUACACAAUGACCCUUUAAUUAAGGACAGAAAUUCCAACUUUUUUCCUGACUUGGAAUUCGAUUAAUAUACCAUGACUUAUCACUGCAGACUGCCAGUUCUCCUUGUGAUGUGUAUUACUGCACGUUUUAACAAUGGAAAUAAAAAUACAUCUGUAGUAUAAAUGAUGUGCGUCACCAGUUUGAAUGAAGCAUGCAGGUGAUGCAAAGGUGGAUAUUAUGGUCAUGUUAUUUAUAUUAAAGUUAACUCAUUUACAAUAAAGUUAACUGUUAUGUAAACUGGUUGGUGUGUUUUUCCAUCCAUCCAUUUUCUAUACCCGCUUUUUCCUGAAUCAGGGUCAUGGGGAUCUGCUGG